CCUACGGGGGACAGCAGUGAGGAAUAUUGGUCAAUGGUCGGGAGACUGAACCAGCCAAGCCGCGUGAGGGAGGAAGGUACAGAGUAUCGUAAACCUCUUUUGUCAGGGAACAAAGACUGGGACGCGUCCCCGGAUGAGUGUACCUGAAGAAAAAGCAUCGGCUAACUCCGUGCCAGCAGCCGCGGUAAUACGGAGGAUGCGAGCGUUAUCCGGAUUUAUUGGGGUUAAAGGGUGCGCAGGCGGUCUGUUAAGUCAGCGGUCAAAGCCCGGGGCUCCCCCCCGGCCCGCCGUUGAAACUGGCAGUCUCGCGUUGGAGAGAAGUAUGCGGACUGCGCGGUGUAGCGGUGACAUGCAU
Molecule: ribosomal RNA, 355 nt
Filed under: uncultured bacterium
Lineage: Bacteria
Description: partial 16S ribosomal RNA
Rfam family: Bacterial small subunit ribosomal RNA
Source: RNAcentral